CAGGACAUAAUUUAUGUAAUUUAUGCAGCUAGUUGAUACACUGAUCUCAAGAUAAAUUGUUUUGCUAUGUGCCAGAGGCAGUUGUUAUCUGUGACUUCUCCUUGUCUCCUCUUUCCUUCUAUUGGCCAGCAAUCUGAAGGCCACUCCCUCUGAGAACUUCUGCCAUUGAUUCAGCCACUGGAGUGGCCCAGAGAGGACAACAGUCUAAAAGCAUGCAAACAUGCAUCAGAGAUGUUAUGCUAACAGAAACAACAGUAGCAAUGACAAAGGCAUUGUCAUUUGAUUCAUUUGGGAGUUUCAGUCUGAAGAAAUGUUGAGCAAUGGCUCUCACCCUUGUCCCACAGCUCCCCUGCUCAACUCAAGAAGGUGUUGAAAUAGGCUGCAGAAAUUCCCAGCCAGGAGCCCUCACAAGCUGUUGUAUGCGGACAAACUCAGGGAAUUUGAUGUCUCCCAAGUGAUGCUUCUCCAGGGUUGGGCGACUCCUAAGGGCAAGACAGCAUUUGCCCAGUGGCCUUUGGGAUAAUCUGCACAUGUUUAAGGGCUUGAAACAAGCAACAGAAGCAACUACUUUGCCCCUAGC
This 580-nucleotide long non-coding RNA is filed under the name Macaca mulatta (Rhesus monkey). RNAcentral's name for it is "lncRNA (ENSMMUG00000054289.1)". Lineage: Eukaryota; Metazoa; Chordata; Mammalia; Primates; Cercopithecidae. The record is from RNAcentral.